Molecule: long non-coding RNA, 1056 nt
Organism: Felis catus (domestic cat)
Lineage: Eukaryota; Metazoa; Chordata; Mammalia; Carnivora; Felidae
Exons: 2
Source: RefSeq, a predicted model, not a curated record
CGAAGCUCGUCCCAGCCAGUCACGGCGCCAUGGGGGCGGAGAAGAAGCUGCUGUAGUUUAAGGAGGCCUUUCAGCUGGCGCAGCAGCCGCACCAGAACCAGGCAAAGUUCGAGGUGGCGCUGAGCCGCACCCACAGCAAGAAGGCAGUUAGAACAUACAGAGAACUCAUGGAGAGAGGAAAGGCCGUGUGAGGACACUGGAAGAAGACACGUACAAGCCAAGAAAAGGGCCCUCAGGAGGACCCGGACCUGCUGACAGUUUGAUCCUCAGAAGUCCAGCCUCCAAAACCAAGAAAAUAAAUUUCUGUUGUUUAAGCCAUCUCGUCUGUACUACUUUGUUAUGGCAAUUCUGGUAAACAAAUACAGGUAGAAUUGCUAGAUGGGAGUAUGUCGGUGUGCAGAGCCCAAUGAGGGGCUCAAACUCAAGAACCGUGAGAUCAUGACCUGAGCCGAAAUCGAGUUGGACCCUUAACUGACUGAGCCACACGGGCGUCCCUCCUCUUAUUUCUUUUUGUACUAGUAUGUUUUGUUUCCCAUUUUACUUUAUUUGUCCUAUAAAUAUUAGGUGUAGUUAAUACUAACUUGAAGAAAAUGAGUUAUGUAACAAAAUAUAAGAAAACUAGAGGGAAGUCACAUUCUUCUACAGCUUAUAUAACUGAACAGAUGCUUUGAAAUCAGUGAUGUGAAAAAAAUCUUCUAUAAGCCUGGUUACACUUCACUGAACUAUCUUAGAGUUGCUUCAUCUGUCUGAUAUGUAAAAGUAGCCUGCAGUGGCAGACUCACUGUUUUCUUUUUUAGUAACUCCCAGUGAACUGAUGGGAAUUUGCAAAAACAAUGGUUGUAGGUAUAUGACAAAUUAAUUCAUCAUUAAACGCCAUUACCUUGAUUAUUUCCUAACACAAUAGAAAUAUGUAAGCUGAUAGGGAGAACAGAAGGUUAUAUCACUGAAAAGUUUCAUGCGAUGAUCCCUUUGUAAGAAAAAAAUAUCCCAUGCAAUUUCACUAUUGUGUAAAUACAACAGAGAAAUAAUCCCAAAUAAACACAAUGCAAAUAAAAA